Molecule: ribosomal RNA, 268 nt
Filed under: uncultured Chlamydiales bacterium
Lineage: Bacteria; Pseudomonadati; Chlamydiota; Chlamydiia; Chlamydiales
Description: partial 16S ribosomal RNA
Rfam family: Bacterial small subunit ribosomal RNA
Source: RNAcentral
GUGGAUGAGGCAUGCAAGUCGAACGAAGCCGGUAGCAAUACUGGCUUAGUGGCGGAAGGGUUAGUAAGACAUGGGUAACUUGCCUUUAACUGUGGGAUAACGGUUGGAAACGACCGCUAAUACCACAUAUGGUGGUGCAGGGCAUCCUGCAUUAAUUAAAGUGGGGGAUCGUAAGACCUCGCGGUAAAAGAGAGGCCCAUGGGAUAUCAGCUAGUUGGUGUGGUAAGAGCACACCAAGGCUAAGACGUCUAGGCGGAUUGAGAGAUUG